This 450-nucleotide ribosomal RNA is filed under the name uncultured bacterium. Its description in RNAcentral is "partial 16S ribosomal RNA". It matches the Rfam family "Bacterial small subunit ribosomal RNA", at positions 354 to 796 of the family's 1533-position model. The record is from RNAcentral.
GUGGGGAAUAUUGGACAAUGGGCGAAAGCCUGAUCCAGCCAUGCCGCGUGUGUGAAGAAGGUCUUCGGAUUGUAAAGCACUUUAAGUUGGGAGGAAGGGCAGUAAGUUAAUACCUUGCUGUUUUGACGUUACCGACAGAAUAAGCACCGGCUAACUUCGUGCCAGCAGCCGCGGUAAUACGAAGGGUGCAAGCGUUAAUCGGAAUUACUGGGCGUAAAGCGCGCGUAGGUGGUUUUGUAAGUUGGAGGUGAAAUCCCCGGGCUCAACCUGGGAACUGCCUCCAAAACUGCAUGACUAGAGUACGGUAGAGGGUAGUGGAAUUUCCUGUGUAGCGGUGAAAUGCGUAGAUAUAGGAAGGAACACCAGUGGCGAAGGCGACUCUCUGGCCAUUGACUGACGCUGAGAUGCGAAAGCGUGGGGAGCAAACAGGAUUAGAUACCCCGGUAGUCC